Non-coding RNA from Caenorhabditis elegans, 21 nucleotides. NCBI's taxonomy places the organism in Eukaryota, Metazoa, Nematoda, Chromadorea, Rhabditida, Rhabditidae. The record is from Ensembl.
UUGGACAGAUAUUGGAACAAA